AGACGGAGGGUGCAAGCGUUAAUCGGAAUUACUGGGCGUAAAGCGCUCGUAGGCGGCCUGUUAAGUCGGAUGUGAAAGCCCCGGGCUCAACCUGGGAACUGCAUUCGAAACUGGCAGGCUAGAGUAUAGUAGAGGCAAGUGGAAUUCCGGGUGUAGCGGUGAAAUGCGUAGAUAUCCGGAGGAACAUCAGUGGCGAAGGCGACUUGCUGGACUAAUACUGACGCUGUGGAGCGAAAGCGUGGGGAGCAAACGGGAUUAGAAACCCCGGUAGUCC
This 274-nucleotide ribosomal RNA is filed under the name uncultured bacterium. RNAcentral describes it as "partial 16S ribosomal RNA". It matches the Rfam family "Bacterial small subunit ribosomal RNA", at positions 523 to 796 of the family's 1533-position model. The record is from RNAcentral.